RNAcentral lists this long non-coding RNA (660 nucleotides) under Prunus persica (peach). RNAcentral describes it as "long non-coding RNA (PPER_LNC008118)". The record is from RNAcentral. Lineage: Eukaryota; Viridiplantae; Streptophyta; Magnoliopsida; Rosales; Rosaceae.
UUUACACCAUAAUGAACCGAGCAGACCCAGCACCAAAGUGACUAGCACCAAGGCAGCCACGCCUUCUCCUGUGCCGAAGGAAGACACACUUCCGAGGUGCCAGACACCUACCGAAGCUCCCAGCUGCCAAACCUAAUCUCCAGGACACGUGUCGCCACCACAACGGCUUGCACAAAGUCCCACAUUGGAACUUUGUGCAAAACUCCUACUUUCACCUCCCUAUAAAUAGGGAACAGUACCCAGGUACAAAGGACAACUAUUCUCCCACUUUUACUGUUGCUCUGCCAGAAUUACUACUUGUAACUGACUUAGGCAUCGGAGAGCCUUCGGCCGGCACCACACCGGUGUCCGAAGCUUAACGAUUGCUUCUCCCACUUUGUCUUCUGCAGGUUUCCCAUCAACCUAUAUUUCACCAAGGGCCUCAGCCCUCUUCCCUGCUGAAGACCCAGCACAUCUAAUCACUAAGUUGGACUCAAUAUUGGCCGGGCCAUUUUGAGCAUCAACAAUGUUGGUUUGAAGGGUGCCUCCCCUCCUAGCGGUCUGCGCGCACCAAUACCCCCAGGUUCUUUGAAUGCUCUUGCUUGAAAUUCGUUCCCCCCCAUGUGUUGGAGCCUCCCAACAACCUUGCAUACGUGGAUAUCUUGUAACCCUUGUUCUCCA